This 240-nucleotide unclassified non-coding RNA is filed under the name soil metagenome. Its description in RNAcentral is "partial contains 5.8S ribosomal RNA, internal transcribed spacer 2, and large subunit ribosomal RNA". The record is from RNAcentral.
AACUGAUACUACCUGCGGGAACCUGCGGAAGGAUCAUUACAGGACUCGCAAGACUCCUACAACCCUGUGAACUUAACUAUAAGCACGUUGCUUCGGCGGGUGUCUCGGCGAGGGUUCUCCCUCCCCGGGGCGCUAAGCCCGCCGGCAGCCUACUAUACUCUGUCUCUUUGCGUUGGCAUCUCGAGUACAAACAAACAAGUUAAAACUUUCAGCAACGGAUCUCUAGAUCGGAAGAGCACA